Molecule: small nuclear RNA, 107 nt
Organism: Schistocerca americana (American grasshopper)
Lineage: Eukaryota; Metazoa; Arthropoda; Insecta; Orthoptera; Acrididae
Source: RefSeq, a predicted model, not a curated record
GUACUCGCUCCUACGGUACAUAUCGUAAAACUGGAACGACACAUACAAAAUUAGCAUGGCCCUUGCGAAAGAAAAACACACAAAAUAAUGAAGCCAUAGUUAAUUUA